Molecule: ribosomal RNA, 109 nt
Filed under: Klebsiella pneumoniae
Lineage: Bacteria; Pseudomonadati; Pseudomonadota; Gammaproteobacteria; Enterobacterales; Enterobacteriaceae
Also listed under: 1 other name
Description: partial 16S ribosomal RNA
Rfam family: Bacterial small subunit ribosomal RNA
Source: RNAcentral
ACUUAAAUUGAAGAGUUUGAUCAUGGCUCAGAUUGAACGCUGGCGGCAGGCCUAACACAUGCAAGUCGAGCGGUAGCACAGAGAGCUUGCUCUCGGGUGACGAGCGGCG